RNAcentral lists this ribosomal RNA (537 nucleotides) under uncultured bacterium. RNAcentral's name for it is "bacterial SSU rRNA". It matches the Rfam family "Bacterial small subunit ribosomal RNA", at positions 791 to 1329 of the family's 1533-position model. The record is from RNAcentral.
UAGUCCACGCCGUAAACGAUGUUAACUCGCUGUUGGCGAUAUACUGUCAGCGGCCAAGCGAAAGCGUUAAGUUAACCACCUGGGGAGUACGCCCGCAAGGGUGAAACUCAAAGGAAUUGACGGGGGCCCGCACAAGCGGAGGAGCAUGUGGUUUAAUUCGAUGAUACGCGAGGAACCUUACCUGGACUUAAAUGGUGAACGACGGUUUCAGAAAUGAAACUUUCUUUUAGACGUUUAUCAAGGUGCUGCAUGGUUGUCGUCAGCUCGUGCCGUGAGGUGUUGGGUUAAGUCCCGGCAACGAGCGCAACCCCGUACUGUUAGUUGCUACCAGGUAAUGCUGGGCACUCUAGCGGAACUGCCGGUGUUAAACCGGAGGAAGGUGGGGAUGACGUCAAGUCCUCAUGGCCCUUAUGUCUGGGGCUACACACGUACUACAAUGGUAGGUACAAAGGGUUGCGAAGCCGCGAGGUGGAGCUAAUCGUCAGAAAACCUAUCUCAGUUCGGAUAGGAGUCUGCAACUCGACUCCUUGAAGUCGG